AUAGAUUUGGUUAUCAUAUUGGUUCAUAUUUUAUAUAUAUUCCUGUGAAAGGGCUAAUAUGAUGAUGCAUGUACUGAGGUACAGAGAUUUUGACCAUCUGUACUUUUCAACUACAGCGGUCACAUAGAUCAGUGCAACCCCAUAGAGUCAAAAAAUAAAUCAGUAAAGUUAGUAAGUGGAAAAGAUCCUUUAGGACAUCAUGAUUGCUAUUUCCAAAACUUAAAGGCAAACGUAGAAGAUUCUCAUCAAAAUUGGGCCAUAUGUAUUUAGAUUAUAACUUUCAUAUGAAUGUCUUUGAACUAGCAAUUUAAAAUAAUUUAUUUUCUUUGCUUUUCAAUCUGAUUUGAAAG
Molecule: long non-coding RNA, 350 nt
Filed under: Bos taurus (domestic cattle)
Lineage: Eukaryota; Metazoa; Chordata; Mammalia; Artiodactyla; Bovidae
Description: long non-coding RNA NONBTAT025257
Source: RNAcentral